GUUGAACGCUGGCGGCAGGCUUAACACAUGCAAGUCGAGCGAGCGGCGGACGGGUGAGUAAUGUCUGGGAAACUGCCUGAUGGAGGGGGAUAACGACUGGAAACGGUAGCUAAUACCGCAUACCAUCAGAUGUGCCCAGAUGGGAUUAGCUAGUAGGUGGGGUAAUGGCUCACCUAGGCGACGAUCCCUAGCUGGUCUGAGAGGAGGACCAGCCACACUGGAACGGAGACACGGUCCAGAUUCCUACGGGAGGCAGCAGUGGGGAAUAUUGCACAAUGGGCGAAAGCCUGAUGCAGCCAUGCCGCGUGUGUGAAGAAGGCCUUCGGGUUGUAAAGCACUUUCAUCGAGGAGGCGUUACUCGCAGAAGAAGCACCGGCUAACUACGUGCCAGCAGCCGCGGUAAUUC
Molecule: ribosomal RNA, 406 nt
Filed under: uncultured bacterium
Lineage: Bacteria
Description: partial 16S ribosomal RNA
Rfam family: Bacterial small subunit ribosomal RNA
Source: RNAcentral